GCGGGUGUGGCGGAAUUGGCAGACGCGUAAGAUUCAGGUUCUUAUGAUCGCAAGGUUGUGCAGGUUCAAGUCCUGUCACCCGCACCA
Molecule: transfer RNA, 87 nt
Filed under: Clostridia bacterium
Lineage: Bacteria; Bacillati; Bacillota; Clostridia
Description: tRNA-Leu
Rfam family: tRNA
About the family: Transfer RNA (tRNA) molecules are approximately 80 nucleotides in length. Their secondary structure includes four short double-helical elements and three loops (D, anti-codon, and T loops).
Source: RNAcentral